Molecule: non-coding RNA, 74 nt
Organism: Ostertagia ostertagi
Lineage: Eukaryota; Metazoa; Nematoda; Chromadorea; Rhabditida; Trichostrongylidae
Source: the annotation of a GenBank genome assembly
CGGGACGUAGCUCAAUCUGGCAGAGCAUCUGACUUUUAAUCAGAGGGUUGCAGGUUCAAUUCCUGUCGUCGCUA